AUACGGAGGAUCCGAGCGUUAUCCGGAUUUAUUGGGUUUAAAGGGUGCUCAGGCGGGCGAUUAAGUCGGCGGUGAAAUUUUGCGGCUCAGCCGUAAAAGGGCCUUCGAAACUGGGAGACUUGAGUGUGGAUGAGGUAGGCGGAAUUUGUGGUGUAGCGGUGAAAUGCAUAGAUAUCACGAGGAACUCCGAUCGCGCAGGCAGGUUACCAGGCCAUAACUGACGCUCAAGCACGAAGGAGUGGGGAUCAAACAGUAUUAGAUACCCUGGUAGUCCGCGCAGUAAACGAUGAUUACUGGGUGUGUGCGAUACAAUGUAAGCGGCUGAGCGAAAGCGUUAAGUAAUCCACCUGGGGAGUACGUUCGCAAGAAUGAAACUCUAAGGAAUUGACGGGG
Molecule: ribosomal RNA, 393 nt
Filed under: uncultured bacterium
Lineage: Bacteria
Description: partial 16S ribosomal RNA
Rfam family: Bacterial small subunit ribosomal RNA
Source: RNAcentral